GGCAGAUGAUGUCUGUUUUCAUGAUGGUCUUCAGAGAUCCACCAUGGGUCCUACUGAGAAAGCCACUUGGUUCAACUGAUGCUAGAAA
This 88-nucleotide small nucleolar RNA is filed under the name Carlito syrichta (Philippine tarsier). RNAcentral describes it as "Small nucleolar RNA SNORD35 (ENSTSYG00000035061.1)". It matches the Rfam family "Small nucleolar RNA SNORD35". Rfam says of the family: U35 is a C/D box snoRNA located in intron 6 of ribosomal protein L13A and intron 3 of ribosomal protein S11 in humans and at homologous positions in mouse and chicken ribosomal protein genes. U35 guides the methylation of 2'-O-ribose sites in 28S rRNA. The record is from Rfam by way of RNAcentral. Lineage: Eukaryota; Metazoa; Chordata; Mammalia; Primates; Tarsiidae.